AGGUCAAUGAGUUUGUAAAAUCUAAUUUUGCCAGUUACAUGAGGGUAAUAUUAAUUUUUUUUAAUACCCUUAGGUCUAUUUAUUUAGCUUAGACGUGUCACUUGAUAAUUUAACCUGUUCUCACGGUUUGUCUCCGUGACCCAGACUGCAUUUAAGCACCAUGUCUGAUGAUAAUGUAAGCAAUAUGGGCGUCAGACCGACUGAAAGAAAAUCUGCCAGUUCUCAAGUUCAGAUACAAUGCGAGCACAAAGCAUGUGAUGUCAUCUUUUCAGCGCGCCUGUGGCCCCUUUAUUCUGUAGGCUUGCGUUGAGGCUUUACUCGAAAGUGAACAAUAAAAAUAGUUUUAUAAAAGGAGACAGAAGUUUCUCUUCAGCAUGCUGAUACAGAGGCCAGCACUGUGGCGUGUAGAAGCCCAGCGCGCGCUCUGAGCCGUUAGUGCUGCAGCUCCUGUCUGGUCGGGGGCCCGCGUGCGCGCGCUGCAUGGGGACCGCCACUUUCUAAAGUGAUGCAGAUGAGUCGGGUGCACUUGACGUCUUUUCAUGACCCUUGAUGCCCCCCUCCUCCCUUUCCUCUCCCCCUCCUCCCUUUUCUUCGUCCUCCCCCCCUUCUAAAGCCCACCAAACCCCGCCGGCUCUGUGUGUCAUAUUCGUUUCGGCCUGUGGCACCGCCGCUUGCCCCCGAGCGUGGGAAUGGGAGCGUCCGCUCGUUCACAUCUCCUGUGCUCCGUUUUAACGGAAUCAAUUAAGGAGGAGCGACCCCCCCCCCCCCCCCCAACUCCUAACGCUAUCCCAUGCGCCCACCCCUUUUCAUUUUUUUUUUUUGUCAGCUCUCUAUAUGUCCUAAUUAUUUCUGUUUGGGAUGCCAGCGCCGUUUCCUGGCCAAGGGCGACAGAACAAAAAUAAAAAAUAAAAAUAAACCGUGCAAAGCAAGGCGUGCACGUGACUUCUGCAAUAAAAAAGUCUUUUUUUUUCAGAAGUAUUGUCACAUAUAGGCUAGAAGUUCGUGCAAUCUUUGUAAGAAGGAAUUCUUCAUCCCUGGAUCAACUACAUUAAAUAAAGCAAAAAAACCCCAAACAAACAAACAAACAAACAAACAAACAAAAAACAGUGUGUCUGUGGGAGAGAGAGAGAGAGAGAGAGAGAGAGAGAGAGAGAGAUUUAAAAAUAUCCUCAACUCCAUAGAAGAUCCCCACCACCCUCAGUCAUUUCGCAGUGUAAAACUUUUGAAUGUUUGCAUCACAUCACAUCACAUCACAUCACAUGAAUCACACACUUUCUGAAAGCCAUCAAGUCUUGCAGCAUGCACAGAGGUCGAUGAGCAUGGAGGCAGUUUUUACUUUCGGUUAUCUAGCUUUAUGACGGCCAACACACUCAUACAGCUAGAUAACCAAAGAUAACAACUCGCUUCCAGUUCAAUCCCGUGACAGUAAUCCGUUCCAGAAGCCUCGUGGUCUUCGAUGGUGCACAUCCACAUAGUGAAGUUGUCAAAGCAACUCCUUAAUUAUCAAAGUCGUCCCGUGUUGUCCACAACUAGCCUAUGAUCGCAAAGUGGAGCUAAAAAUAACGCUUUCCUCAGAAGUUUAAAAAAAAAAAAAAAAAAAAAAAAAAAAAAAAAAGCACGUUAUAGCCUGGAAUAUGCUGUAAUCCCCCGGACUCGUGACAUAAACCAAUAUUAGAGUUGGAGAGAGAGAGAGAGAGAGAGAGAGAGAGAGAGCGGUGAGGAAGGUGCAGCCAUCCUUGCACAGGCCCUCAUUUGCAUUGCAAUUUUUUUUUUUUUUUUUUUUUUUUUUUUUACAAAAGCCUCCUCUGGUCCUAUUAGACUGCGCAGGCGGUGAUCGGUAUCCCGCGGAACCGGCGGCCACUUUACAAAAGGAGAAAUCCGAUUCCGGAGGAAGAGUGAACAUAUGAAUAACACCGCGUCGGUGGCGCCACAACAUAUAGAGCUCGUGCUUCUUUUCCAUUUUUUCGUUGCAUCAUUUUGACGAUGGGUUACGGGUUCCGUGUGCGGAAAAGCAUUUAUCGCAAAGGGGGAGAAAAAAAAGGUGCCGUAAUAAAGCGAGUGGAGGAGAAAUUCCGCUGUCCGUCUCGCCGCUGCCACCAACGGUCUGAGGAAAGGCAAUAGGGCCAUCUCAGGGACUAAAGGGGGGGAACUUAAGGGGAGGGGACGGCCAUCCACUAAAAAAAUCUGGACCAACCACACAAGGUCAAAGGUCUCGGACCAGCGGGAGUGUUAAGGUAAUGAUGAUGUCAUUAGAAACGCGGAGUUUGCUAUUUGUGUGCGUCGUCGGCACGCGCUAUGUAUUUGAGCCUCGCUGUGGAAGAGAUGUGACAUCGCAGUGUGGGGGGGAGACACAGCGACCGAAAAACGACGCCUCUCUCCCUGAAGAUGGAGAUUUUUGUGCACAUAGCUAAAGAAAAUGGAGGUAUGCAGUAAAGCCUGGCUUCUGCAUCUGCCAGUGUUAUACAGUGUCAGCCUGGCCUGACUGUGUGUCGCCUUUUAUAUGUGAGACUGUGAGAUGCCUUUAUAUUCUGCUACUGUAAGGCACUCUGUAACCUUUUACUCUGACCAUCUCCAUUUUCAGAUAGAUUCCCAAAGCAGCGACUGCCAUUUUCCAUGUGUGACAAGCUAUUUGGAUUCUAACAAUACAAAUAAUCCUCUUCAAAGCAUGUUUCAUUCUGUUAUCACAGCUUAGGUGACAGAUUUUCAUUCUAUGUGAUGGCAAACAGAUAAAAAAACAAAACAACAAAAAAAAACAGAAACAUAUUUGCUUUGCAGGAUGCAAGGGAUAAUGAAUAGACUACUAUAUAUAUAUAUAUACAUUCCCCACUGUAAUUGUGUGUGAGAAUUGAGGAGGGUGUGGAAUACUUUUUGUGUGUGUGUGUGUGGGGGUAUGUUUGAUAAAAAUGGAACAUUCAUUGUAGGAACUUAAAAAGCUAGUCACAAUCGUAGGUGCAGGAAUACACAAGGGAGUGGAAAAACACCACAAAUCUAGCAAUAGGUUAAAAUGAUUGAGUGUGUGUGCAUGGUGGUGUUGGUGUGUGUGAGUGUGUGUGUGUGUGUGUGUGUGGGGGGGGGGGGGGGGUAAUAGGUGGGUGGUGCUCAAGAGGGAGCCACCUAGUCAGCAUGGGAAAACAAUAAAGUUUUCUUCAUCACUUGUCUAAUGCAUAUGUUCCAUUCUUUUUUUCCCCCUGUCCCAGUAUACCUACAAUACUGAUUGUUGAUUUGAACCAAUAUAACUACAGUCGAGGACCUUUUUAGACUGUUUGUGAAAUUACACUCUAUUCUCUGUUGUGCAUCUCUGAAUUAAUUACAGUGCCCAAAUAGCACAAUAAAUGAAACAAGCUACAUAACUCUUAUUGAUUUGUCACUCUCGACUGAUCCGACAUCAGAUCCUUUCCUUGAUGCAUGACUGAAGUAGCUGAAUAAAUGACUUUAAAAUUGUGGCUUCUGUCAUAAUGAUUCUGAACCAUUAAUAUAGGCCUUGCACCUGAAACACUCAGUUGAUUGAGUCUCCUUCUACUGAAAACCAUUGAUAUUUCAUAAGAAAACUAUGAGCUUGCCUCACUUGCCUUGGUUUUUAUCACACAUCUGAUAUCUGACUUCUGAGACAAACACAAGACAUAUUGGAACACAACUCAUGCCUAAUUACAAAUUAUAUAUUUUUUUAAUAAACAAACAUAUUUGAGAUCAUGUGAUUUUAGUCAAUAAUGGUUGUAUGGAUUUUAGAUAAGGCACUGUGCAUGAGCAGCAAAAAGAUAUCAGGGUGUCUGACCCUCCUGAGAACGCAACACACGAAUGCAGCAAGGUAAGAUCAGAAGUACUGUGUGCAACAUCAUAUAACUACUGGUCAAUGACUAUUUAACUUGGUAUGACCACCAUGGUUGGGUUAGAUAAUACUGGAUACAUCAUAGUAGUAUAACCUAAAAGCAAGUUGUCAGUAAUAACUAAGAACUAAAAUUGUGCCUUGGACAACCAAUUCUAACCCAGCUUUUGGAAAAAGUAAUGAUUCACCAUUGUCAAGCAGAGAACUUCGGCUAUGACCAUGGACAUGUCCUUUUACAGAUAAAACACACAUUCAUGCUACUCUUGCGGUAACACGCCAAAGUUCAUCUUCACUGACGAGACAUCUGCAGUAAAAGUGCGCUUGAGAAACUUCACAAGGAAAUUAGUGCUCACGUCGGUCUAUAGGGAAGAAGAGUACUCACUUUCUGUCCAAGCGUCUUUCCAAACAUUCAGUAUCCGUUGCCGGUGCGCAAAACGCCGUCUCACUAACGAGUCCAUCCUGUGCGCGUGUGGUUCAAAAUUGCCGCUAACACUUAGCUCAUUACGCGUGCUUCCCUGCUCCGGUAAGUCCACGCGCGCUAGAGACAGCGCGAGAGUGUGUGAGAGACUGAGAGACAGCGCGAGAUGGGGGGGUGUACGGGGGGGGGGGGGGGUCAGAGAGGAGGGGUCGAGAAGUUUCCCAUAACCUAUUUGUCUACGGCACCAAAUGGGAAAAAGUGCAGUGUUGAGCGGAGAAGGGUUGGCAUGGAAUGAUUUAAAAAAUAUAUAUUUUAUUUUUUUUAGUGUUAGGGUGGGGGUAGAUGGGGGGUGUUGGGAGGGGGUCAGCAGAAGAGGGGGGCACCUCUCCUUCUCUGUGAUAGAAAGAAAGGACGUGCUCGGAAAUUCAAACAAGUUGGCCAGGUCUUUUGUUGGAUUUGAACUGAGGAGCCAUUGUUCCCCUUAUUGGCGUGGACUGUAGCCCCCCAGUUUCCCAGAGCAGGUUACGCACUGACUGCGCUAAUGAAUUUGCCUCGAGCUUUUUUUUUCUGCCCCACACGAGCGGACUGACGGAACGCGCUCGCCGUCUUUAUACACAGCGAGGACAUUAUUAGAGCAGGGAGAAAAAAAA
Molecule: long non-coding RNA, 4891 nt
Organism: Ictalurus punctatus (channel catfish)
Lineage: Eukaryota; Metazoa; Chordata; Actinopteri; Siluriformes; Ictaluridae
Source: Ensembl